Molecule: ribosomal RNA, 292 nt
Filed under: uncultured bacterium
Lineage: Bacteria
Description: partial 16S ribosomal RNA
Rfam family: Bacterial small subunit ribosomal RNA
Source: RNAcentral
GUGUCAGCAGCCGCGGUAAGACAGAGGAGCCAAGCGUUGUCCGGAUUGACUGGGCGUAAAGCGCACGCAGGCGGCCCAAUACGUGGGGUGUGAAAGCUGGCGGCUUAACUGCCAGAUGCCAUCCCAUACGGCUGGGCUCGAGCCCUGCAGAGGUCCAUGGAAUUGCCGGUGUAGUGGUGAAAUGCGUAGAGAUCGGCAGGAACACCCAGGGGGAAACCAGUGGACUGGGCAGGAGCUGACGCUCAGGUGCGAAAGCGUGGGGAGCGAACCGGAUUAGAAACCCCUGUAGUCC